RNAcentral lists this ribosomal RNA (427 nucleotides) under uncultured Sporomusa sp. RNAcentral describes it as "bacterial SSU rRNA". It matches the Rfam family "Bacterial small subunit ribosomal RNA", at positions 356 to 774 of the family's 1533-position model. Lineage: Bacteria; Bacillati; Bacillota; Negativicutes; Selenomonadales; Sporomusaceae. The record is from RNAcentral.
GGGGAAUCUUCCGCAAUGGACGAAAGUCUGACGGAGCAACGCCGCGUGAGUGAAGAAGGUCUUCGGAUUGUAAAGCUCUGUCGUUUGGGACGAACGUGGAUUGUGUGAAUAAUGCAAUCUAAUGACGGUACCAAAGGAGGAAGCCACGGCUAACUACGUGCCAGCAGCCGCGGUAAUACGUAGGUGGCAAGCGUUGUCCGGAAUUAUUGGGCGUAAAGGGCGUGUAGGUGGAUUCUUAAGUCGUGUGUCUAAGUGCGGUGCUCAACACCGUAUGGGCGCAGGAAACGGGGAAGCUUGAGUGCAGGAGAGGAAAGUGGAAGUGCAGGUGUAGAGGUGAAAGGCGUAGAUAUGGGGAGGAGCGGCAGUGGCGAAGGCGAGGUUCUGGACUGUGUCUGACGCUGAGGCGCGAAAGGCAGGGGAGCGAACG